Molecule: long non-coding RNA, 343 nt
Organism: Alexandromys fortis (reed vole)
Lineage: Eukaryota; Metazoa; Chordata; Mammalia; Rodentia; Cricetidae
Exons: 3
Source: RefSeq, a predicted model, not a curated record
UCCUCACCGUGGUGCCCUGUACUACUAUUACAAGGCCCAAAGCAAUGGAGCCAACUGACCAGAGGCUGGCUUUUCUGAAACUGUGCUCGGCAUGAUACUCAGUCAUCAAUGGUGUGAACUCUGCCAUCAGACUCAGUGAGGGAUGAGACACUGUCGUCACUCUAUGGGAUGAUCCAAGGCUCAGAACUUUAGAAACUUACCCAUCUGACACCUCCAGCUAUGAAGCACCGAGAAUGCCAGGCUGGAAGGACUUACAGAGAUGGGGAGAUGCCUCCAGACUGAAGAUGCUUUUCACCAAGUCUGAUGACCAGAGCUCAAUCCGUGGAACUCACAAGGCGGGAAA